RNAcentral lists this ribosomal RNA (253 nucleotides) under uncultured bacterium. Its description in RNAcentral is "partial 16S ribosomal RNA". It matches the Rfam family "Bacterial small subunit ribosomal RNA", at positions 524 to 776 of the family's 1533-position model. The record is from RNAcentral.
UACGAAGGGGGCUAGCGCUGUUCGGAAUUACUGGGCGUAAAGGGCGCGUAGGCGGUACUUCAAGUCAGGCGUGAAAGCCCCGGGCUCAACCUGGGAACCGCGCUUGAGACUGGAGAACUAGAGUUCGGGAGAGGAUGGUGGAAUUCCCAGUGUAGAGGUGAAAUUCGUAGAUAUUGGGAAGAACACCGAUGGCGAAGGCAGCCAUCUGGACCGACACUGACGCUGAGGCGCGAAAGCGUGGGGAGCAAACAGG